This 497-nucleotide ribosomal RNA is filed under the name uncultured bacterium. RNAcentral describes it as "partial 16S ribosomal RNA". It matches the Rfam family "Bacterial small subunit ribosomal RNA", at positions 28 to 507 of the family's 1533-position model. The record is from RNAcentral.
GAUGAACGCUGGCGGCGUGCCUAAUACAUGCAAGUCGAGCGAACAGACGAGGAGCUUGCUCCUCUGACGUUAGCGGCGGACGGGUGAGUAACACGUGGAUAACCUACCUAUAAGACUGGGAUAACUUCGGGAAACCGGAGCUAAUACCGGAUAAUAUAUUGAACCGCAUGGUUCAAUAGUGAAAGACGGUUUUGCUGUCACUUAUAGAUGGAUCCGCGCCGCAUUAGCUAGUUGGUAAGGUAACGGCUUACCAAGGCAACGAUGCGUAGCCGACCUGAGAGGGUGAUCGGCCACACGGGAACUGAGACACGGUCCAGACUCCUACGGGAGGCAGCAGUAGGGAAUCUUCCGCAAUGGGCGAAAGCCUGACGGAGCAACGCCGCGUGAGUGAUGAAGGCCUUCGGAUCGUAAAACUCUGUUAUUAGGGAAGAACAAAUGUGUAAGUAACUAUGCACGUCUUGACGGUACCUAAUCAGAAAGCCACGGCUAACUACGUG